RNAcentral lists this ribosomal RNA (497 nucleotides) under uncultured bacterium. RNAcentral's name for it is "partial 16S ribosomal RNA". It matches the Rfam family "Bacterial small subunit ribosomal RNA", at positions 28 to 507 of the family's 1533-position model. The record is from RNAcentral.
GAUGAACGCUGGCGGCGUGCCUAAUACAUGCAAGUCGAGCGAACGGACGCGAAGCUUGCUUCUCUGAUGUUAGCGGCGGACGGGUGAGUAACACGUGGAUACCCUACCUAUAAGACUGGGAUAACUUCGGGAAACCGUAGCUAAUACCGGAUAAUAUCUUGAACCGCAUGGUUCAAAAGUGAAAGACGGUCUUGCUGUCACUUAUAGAUGGAUCCGCGCUGCAUUAGCUAGUUGGUAAGGUAACGGCUUACCAAGGCAACGAUGCAUAGCCGACCUGAGAGGGUGAUCGGCCACACUGGAACUGAGACACGGUCCAGACUCCUACGGGAGGCAGCAGUAGGGAAUCUUCCGCAAUGGGCGAAAGCCUGACGGAGCAACGCCGCGUGAGUGAUGAAGGUCUUCGGAUCGUAAAACUCUGUUAUUAGGGAAGAACAUAUGUGUAAGUAACUGUGCACAUCUUGACGGUACCUAAUCAGAAAGCCACGGCUAACUACGUG